AGCCUCUCAUGUUCUCAGUUCUAAGUAUGCUUGGGGGUAAACCCUAAUCCAGCAGUUGGAACAAUGACCCACAAGUCAAAACCUUCAAGUCCAAAACUCAACUCGUAAUCUUUGUAUUUGGUACAAAGUGGGAUUGGGGUGAGGCCAAAUCCAGAAUGCUGUUGCUGAGUGCUGAGUGCUGAAAGGGUUGAAUGGGUCACACAAUUUACAGACAAGCUACAUGGAGAUAUUUCAUCUUUUUUCAUCAUCUGGCCAUGUGAUGGGCUUGACCCACACUGGAAAUAGACAUGUUGGAGAUUGAUCAUGCUGUGGAGAGGUAUUACCAUUGAAGGCAAAAGCUACUGAAUUCAAAUCACAAUGUACCCCC
RNAcentral lists this long non-coding RNA (367 nucleotides) under Physcomitrium patens. RNAcentral describes it as "long non-coding RNA (PPAT_LNC011528)". The record is from RNAcentral. Lineage: Eukaryota; Viridiplantae; Streptophyta; Bryopsida; Funariales; Funariaceae.